GGGGAAGUGUCGGGCUUUAGCUUGGAGCAGGGCCAAUUUAUGUUCCGCUUUAUGAAGGCUGGGGAGAGGGACUUAAUCCUCAGCUAACCAUAGGUGGUCGCCGGCCAAGCACUGGCAGUGGAGCCUUGACAACUUCGAUUCUUCCUAUUAAAGGGAGCCAUCCAUUUGGCCCUAGUCUGGGUCUGACUGGCAUGGCUCCCG
RNAcentral lists this long non-coding RNA (201 nucleotides) under Elaeis guineensis (African oil palm). Its description in RNAcentral is "long non-coding RNA (EGUI_LNC017596)". The record is from RNAcentral. Lineage: Eukaryota; Viridiplantae; Streptophyta; Magnoliopsida; Arecales; Arecaceae.